This 151-nucleotide small RNA is filed under the name Duffyella gerundensis. Its description in RNAcentral is "Erwinia gerundensis EFASI RNA". It matches the Rfam family "EFASI RNA". The record is from Rfam by way of RNAcentral. Lineage: Bacteria; Pseudomonadati; Pseudomonadota; Gammaproteobacteria; Enterobacterales; Erwiniaceae.
UCGACUCGGUAUCGAUGGCGACAUCAGGAAACUGGUGUACGGAGGCAGACUGACUAACGUCAGCACGGCGCAAGCCGCAAACAGGUCAGAGACUUGGGGAAGCCUCGCAAGAACUCAACAUUUCGCCGCCCCGAUGCACAGAUACCAGUUG